AGCGAACGCUGGCGGCAGGCCUAACACAUGCAAGUCGAACGAACCUUUCGGGGUUAGUGGCGGACGGGUGAGUAACACGUGGGAACGUGCCUUUAGGUUCGGAAUAACUCAGGGAAACUUGUGCUAAUACCGAAUGUGCCCUUCGGGGGAAAGAUUUAUCGCCUUUAGAGCGGCCCGCGUCUGAUUAGCUAGUUGGUUGAGGUAAUGGCUCACCAAGGCGACGAUCAGUAGCUGGUCUGAGAGGAUGAUCAGCCACAUUGGGACUGAGACACGGCCCAAACUCCUACGGGAGGCAGCAGUGGGGAAUCUUGCGCCAUGGGCGAAAGCCUGACGCAGCCAUGCCGCGUGAAUGAUGAAGGUCUUAGGAUUGUAAAAUUCUUUCACCGGGGACGAUAAUGACGGUACCCGGAGAAGAAGCCCCGGCUAACUUCGUG
This 434-nucleotide ribosomal RNA is filed under the name uncultured bacterium. RNAcentral's name for it is "partial 16S ribosomal RNA". It matches the Rfam family "Bacterial small subunit ribosomal RNA", at positions 29 to 507 of the family's 1533-position model. The record is from RNAcentral.